Molecule: unclassified non-coding RNA, 1118 nt
Filed under: Bombus terrestris (buff-tailed bumblebee)
Lineage: Eukaryota; Metazoa; Arthropoda; Insecta; Hymenoptera; Apidae
Description: misc RNA ENSBTSG00005023582.1
Source: RNAcentral
UGCAAUGAGUUAAAACUGUUCUACCUAUUUAUUAUUAUUAUAUCCUCAUUUGGAAUCACUAAUAAUUAAAACAAAUUUCUUCUUAACAGUUAUAUGAAAAUAUCAAAAAUCAUACUGUUGGUAUAGUGUACCCAAUUGCUCGGUUGAUACCAUGCAUUAUAAAACACUGUAUCUCUCAUAUAUAUAUUUUUUGACGAGAGAAACAGUCAUUCUAGUAACACCGCCGAGAACUGCUGCGGCACCAACCAUUGCGUAUAGUCCAGGAGUUAUACAAUCGACACCAGUUGAACAUGCUUCACUAAAUAUCCAAAUAUGUGGAUAAUUAUACGCUAGUUGCUCCAUUCCAAUCCCCACAAUACGGCCCAUUAUCGCUCCCAAACAAAGUGAUGGAAUAAAUAAUCCGCAAGGUACUUUCAUACCGAACGUAAAUAUUGUCAUAACAAGUUUUAGAAUUAAUGCUAAGACGAGAAGCCAUAUCGCCUUAUAAACUCCGGGGCCAGCUGCUGCAACUUCAAUCGCUGAUUUUACAGCAGUAAAGUUUCUAUUAUAAUCACUAUAUAAACAAAAAGAGAAAUUUACUAUAUUUUAAAACUAAUGUUAAUUUUAAAAAUAAGAGAGGGAAUUUCUACCAUAAAAUGUCUGCGUUUGAUACUCCACAUUGUCUAAAUAAUAAAUAAAUGAGUUGACUUGUACUCAUUCGUGUAUAUGGAUUUGGAUAUCCAAUAACAGCAGUUGCAACCGUUACGAUUAGAACUUCGGUAACUGGAUACUGGCCCAAUUUUGAAGUUUUACGAUAACGACACCAAAACAGAUUUGCUUUAAUAAACAAAGUAGCAAUCACGCCCUAUUGAAAGAAAGAGAAAGGGAAAAGGGUAAUUUAACAAUCUUUUAACCAUAGAAGAAAAUUUACAGAAAGAUAAACUUACACCAAUUAUUCCAAGCAUGACGAAGGGUAUUAGCUCAAAAAAUAUCCAAGGCUUAUUAUAUUCAACAUAAAAAAGCACAGAAUGCUCGUUGCCAAAUGGAUUUAUAGAUCGUAAAAUAAAAGCAGCUAUCAAGGCACAGAAAAAUGAUCUCCACAAAGUUUUUAGUGGAAAGUAAUAGCUCACCUGAAAAAU